This 413-nucleotide ribosomal RNA is filed under the name uncultured prokaryote. Its description in RNAcentral is "bacterial SSU rRNA". It matches the Rfam family "Bacterial small subunit ribosomal RNA", at positions 505 to 918 of the family's 1533-position model. The record is from RNAcentral.
GUGUCAGCAGCCGCGGUAAUACGUAUGGGGCAAGCGUUGUUCGGAGUUAUUGGGCGUAAAGGGCGUGUAGGCGGCUCAUCAAGUCUGGUGUGAAAUUGCAGGGCUCAACCCUGCAGGUGCGCUGGAAACUGGUGGGCUAGAGUUCUUGAGGGGAAGCUGGAAUUCCAGGUGUAGGGGUGAAAUCUGUAGAUAUCUGGAAGAACACCGGUGGCGAAGGCGAGCUUCUAUCAGAGGACUGACGCUGAGGCGCGAAAGCGUGGGGAGCAAACAGGAUUAGAUACCCUGGUAGUCCACGCUGUAAACGAUGUGCACUAGGCGUGGGGCACGUACGUGCUCUGUGCCGUAGCCAACGCGAUAAGUGCACCGCCUGGGGAGUAUGCUCGCAAGGGUGAAACUUAAAUGAAUUGACGGGG